AAACUGCGAAAAGCACUGCGAAUUGCAGAACUCUAUGAGUCAGUAGAUCUUCGAACGCAUUUUGCGCUACGCGCAUGUUUGCUUCAGUGCCUAUUCCGCUUCAAAUCUGCCAGUGGAGUCCUCUGGCUAAGUAGUUACACUCUGGUCUGUUGGCAACGACCUGAGCUCAGUUAGUGCCUGAAGUCAAGCAAGAUAACCCGCUGAACUUAA
RNAcentral lists this unclassified non-coding RNA (210 nucleotides) under uncultured fungus. RNAcentral describes it as "sequence contains ITS1". The stretch from base 1 to 92 matches the Rfam family "5.8S ribosomal RNA", at positions 50 to 154 of the family's 154-position model. The record is from RNAcentral. Lineage: Eukaryota; Fungi.